RNAcentral lists this transfer RNA (84 nucleotides) under Litoreibacter sp. Its description in RNAcentral is "tRNA-Leu". It matches the Rfam family "tRNA". From Rfam's summary of the family: Transfer RNA (tRNA) molecules are approximately 80 nucleotides in length. Their secondary structure includes four short double-helical elements and three loops (D, anti-codon, and T loops). Further hydrogen bonds mediate the characteristic L-shaped molecular structure. tRNAs have two regions of fundamental functional importance: the anti-codon, which is responsible for specific mRNA codon recognition, and the 3' end, to which the tRNAs corresponding amino acid is attached (by aminoacyl-tRNA synthetases). tRNAs cope with the degeneracy of the genetic code in two manners: having more than one tRNA (with a specific anti-codon) for a particular amino acid; and 'wobble' base-pairing, i.e. permitting non-standard base-pairing at the 3rd anti-codon position. Lineage: Bacteria; Pseudomonadati; Pseudomonadota; Alphaproteobacteria; Rhodobacterales; Roseobacteraceae. RNAcentral also lists the same sequence under 2 other names. The record is from RNAcentral.
GCCCGAGUGGUGGAAUGGUAGACACGACGGAUUCAAAAUCCGUUGCCGCGAGGCGUGCCGGUUCAAGUCCGGCCUCGGGUACCA